UUUAAUUGUUUGCUUUAAUUUCUUGAAUCUCUUUCUAAGUUGUCAUAUUAUAAAUCCUUUUGGUGGUACUGUUUUCUUUCAAUUAAAUUUGUUUCUUGCUUUUGUUCCUUGACCUCUCUUUUUGGGUGCUGGAAUUUAAUUUCUCCCUUGGUGCUUAUGUGCAUGGAAUUUGACUUGGUUUAAGGUUUAGCCCUUGUGAAUAGGUGCUGGAAAUUGGAGAAUUAAAGCCAACAUUCUAAGGAGGAGACAAAGCCAAAGCCGAAACAAGCUUUCUUGAAACAAAC
Molecule: long non-coding RNA, 284 nt
Filed under: Phaseolus vulgaris (common bean)
Lineage: Eukaryota; Viridiplantae; Streptophyta; Magnoliopsida; Fabales; Fabaceae
Description: long non-coding RNA (PVUL_LNC003413)
Source: RNAcentral